RNAcentral lists this ribosomal RNA (326 nucleotides) under Cercomonas sp. RNAcentral describes it as "SSU rRNA". The stretch from base 109 to 326 matches the Rfam family "Eukaryotic small subunit ribosomal RNA", at positions 736 to 955 of the family's 1831-position model. Lineage: Eukaryota; Cercozoa; Cercomonadida; Cercomonadidae. The record is from RNAcentral.
GAUUUCUGGUACGGCGCAUUUGGCCCGCCUCGGUUACGGGGUUGUGUGCCGGUGUGCGCCUGCCAUCCUUCUGGCCCUCACUAUCACUUCCCUUCACUGGGCUUGUGGUAGCGAACCAGAUCAUUUACUUUGAAAAAAUUAGAGUGUUUAAAGCAGGCGUUUGCUAUGAAUACAUUAGCAUGGAAUAAUAACUUAGGACUUCGGUUCUAUUUUGUUGGUUUCUAGGACUGAAGUAAUGAUUGAUAGGGAUAGUUGGGGGUGCUAGUAUUCAGCGGCCAGAGGUGAAAUUCUCGGAUUCGCUGAAGACUAACUUAUGCGAAAGCAUU